CAGUAGCCGCGGUAAUACGAAGGGGGCUAGCGUUGUUCGGAAUUACUGGGCGUAAAGCGCACGUAGGCGGCUUGGUAAGUUAGAGGUGAAAGCCUGGAGCUCAACUCCAGAAUUGCCUUUAAGACUGCCGAGCUAGCAGGUGAGAGAGGUAAGUGGAAUUCCGAGUGUAGAGGUGAAAUUCGUAGAUAUUCGGAAGAACACCAGUGGCGAAGGCGGCUUACUGGCUCAUACUGGACGCUGAGGUGCGAAAGCGUGGGGAGCAAACAGGAUUAGAUACCCCUGUCCCUGUCUCUUAUACACA
RNAcentral lists this ribosomal RNA (301 nucleotides) under uncultured bacterium. RNAcentral describes it as "partial 16S ribosomal RNA". It matches the Rfam family "Bacterial small subunit ribosomal RNA", at positions 509 to 810 of the family's 1533-position model. The record is from RNAcentral.